This 264-nucleotide ribosomal RNA is filed under the name Clostridiales bacterium. RNAcentral describes it as "partial 16S ribosomal RNA". It matches the Rfam family "Bacterial small subunit ribosomal RNA", at positions 1 to 243 of the family's 1533-position model. The record is from RNAcentral. Lineage: Bacteria; Bacillati; Bacillota; Clostridia; Eubacteriales.
UUAAACAUGAGAGUUUGAUCCUGGCUCAGGAUGAACGCUGGCGGCGUGCCUAACACAUGCAAGUCGAACGAAGCACAUUAAGUGAAUUCCUUCGGGAAUAAAGUUAAUGUGACUUAGUGGCGGAUGGGUGAGUAACGCGUGGGUAACCUGCCUUGUACAGGGGGAUAACAGUUGGAAACGACUGCUAAAACCGCAUACCUAUAUAGAGUCGCAUGAUUUUAUAUAGAAAUAUUUAUAGGUAUAAGAUGGACCCGCGUCUGAUUA